This 993-nucleotide long non-coding RNA is filed under the name Spirodela polyrhiza (greater duckweed). RNAcentral describes it as "long non-coding RNA (SPOL_LNC000330)". The record is from RNAcentral. Lineage: Eukaryota; Viridiplantae; Streptophyta; Magnoliopsida; Alismatales; Araceae.
AGACUUGUCUCCCUCUUGUUCUUCGCCGUUCUGCUUCGCGUCGAACGUUUAGGGUUCCGAUCUCCGGGAAGAUGGCUGCAAACCCUAGGGUCUUCUUCGACCUCACCAUCGGCGGAGCUCCGGCGGGGCGUGUCGUGAUGGAGCUCUUCGCUGACGUGACGCCGAAGACGGCGGAGAACUUCCGUGCGCUCUGCACCGGGGAGAAGGGGCGGGGGCGCUCCGGCAAGCCCCUCCACUACAAGGGAUCGACCUUCCACCGGGUGAUCCCGCAGUUCAUGUGCCAGGGCGGCGACUUCACCGCCGGGAACGGCACCGGCGGCGAGUCGAUCUACGGCUCCAAGUUCGAGGACGAGAACUUCGUGAAGAAGCACGAGGGCCCCGGCAUUCUGUCCAUGGCCAACGCCGGUCCGGGGACGAACGGAUCGCAGUUCUUCAUCUGCACGGCCAAGACGUCUUGGCUGGACGGCAAGCACGUCGUCUUCGGGCGGGUCGUUGAGGGACUGGACGUCAUCCGCGCCGUGGAGAAGGUGGGGUCCUCCAGCGGUCGGACCUCCAAGCCCGUCGUCAUAGCCGACUGUGGCCAACUCUCCUAGACGCCCGCACCCUCCUCCGCCGUGAUCCCUACCGCCGAUCUACGGAUCUCCCCCUCGUGUGUCCUCGUUGUUGUGAUCCCACUGCCUACGUGCGUCGUCCUCUCAGUGACAUCGUUUCCCCCUGUCGUCCUCUUAGCGUUUCCGCCUUUCGAUCUACGGCAGCUGCUUUCUGGAUGCCUAUUUUUGAUCUGUGUGAAAGCCGCGGCGGGUGGGUAGAACUCGACACUAGUAUGAAUCGAUAUGAAAUAAACUUCUACCUCGCCCUCUUUUUCCGCAAUCUCCUCGUAGCUCAACACACAGAUGAUCUUGUCCAACAUUUUCUGAUUACCGAUGAUCGCGGAAAUGAUAAUACCGUAGAACUGUGCAUCGGGCUCAACUGGCCGAGAUCUUGAUUCUCCGC